AUAUCAAUAAGCGGAGGAAAAGAAACCAACCGGGAUUGCCUCAGUAACGGCGAGUGAAGCGGCAAGAGCUCAAAUUUGAAAUCUGACCCUCCUGCGGGGUUCGAGUUGUAAUUUGGAGAGGAUGCUUCGGGCUUCGUCCCGGUCUAGGUGCCCUGGAACGGGUCGUCAGAGAGGGUGAGAAUCCCGUCUGGGACCGGUGACGAUGCCUCUGUGAAGCUCCUUCGACGAGUCGAGUUGUUUGGGAAUGCAGCUCUAAGUGGGUGGUAAAUUCCAUCUAAAGCUAAAUACAGGCCGGAGACCGAUAGCGCACAAGUAGAGUGAUCGAAAGAUGAAAAGCACUUUGAAAAGAGAGUCAAAGAGUAC
RNAcentral lists this ribosomal RNA (363 nucleotides) under uncultured fungus. RNAcentral's name for it is "eukaryotic LSU rRNA". It matches the Rfam family "Eukaryotic large subunit ribosomal RNA", at positions 40 to 398 of the family's 3401-position model. Lineage: Eukaryota; Fungi. The record is from RNAcentral.